AAGUCGUAACAAGGUUUCCGUAGGUGAACCUGCGGAAGGAUCAUUAACAAAUCUGCUAUGGUCUAGUGCAGCAAUGUGCUAGAUCACAUUGACUCGGGCUCGGUCGGAGUAACAAACCGAUCGAGUCUUGAGACAUUCACGCUUGUUGUGUAUGACUGAGUUUAUAUGUGCCUUAAACAAAGACAACUUUUAACAAUGGAUCUCUUGGCUCUU
RNAcentral lists this unclassified non-coding RNA (213 nucleotides) under fungal sp. Its description in RNAcentral is "partial internal transcribed spacer region". The stretch from base 1 to 46 matches the Rfam family "Eukaryotic small subunit ribosomal RNA", at positions 1786 to 1831 of the family's 1831-position model. The record is from RNAcentral. Lineage: Eukaryota; Fungi.